This 96-nucleotide signal recognition particle RNA is filed under the name bacterium. Its description in RNAcentral is "signal recognition particle sRNA small type". It matches the Rfam family "Bacterial small signal recognition particle RNA". Rfam says of the family: The signal recognition particle (SRP) is a universally conserved ribonucleoprotein involved in the co-translational targeting of proteins to membranes. The record is from RNAcentral.
UGGCCGGUCCCGCGCAGCGACGAUUUCCGAACCGCGCCAGGUCCGGAAGGAAGCAGCGCUAUGAUUGACAUCAAAGCUGCGGGUCGCCUGGGCCAU